AACUACAGCAACUACAUAGAAACCUGAUGCAGCAGCUUUAUUUCCUUAUUCAGCAGCCUCUCUGAUCUGUCCUGCCUCGUCUGACAGCAUGUUCUCACGCUGCGUUUUCACAUUUUUGUGCCUCCACCUGAUCGUUUCCAGAGCUGGCGCUCUCUUCGGUUAUGGUUUGAUUCGAUGUCAGUUCAAUUCCGUCCAUGACGCCGUCUACCUGGAACAGCUCUACUUCAACAAAGUCUUCCUGGGCCAGUUCAACAGCAGCGUGAUGAGAUUUGACGGCUACACCAACUAUACAAAGGGCAUUGCCAACUUACUAAACAAAAACCCUGUGUUUAUAAAACAAGAGAAAAAGAACGUUUUGAAAUGCACCAGCCACGUAGCCAAUCUGCUGGACAGCCUUUCAAAAACAGUCAUUAAACCCUACGUCAGGUUGACACUCACUGAGGUCAAAGGCAGCAGUCAUUCACACAUGCUGGUCUGCAGCGUUUACAGCUUUUACCCCAGAGACAUCACAGUGACAUGGCUGCAGGACGGAGAGGUGGUGACAGAUGACGUGACAACCACUGGCACUCUGUCCAACGGCAACUGGCUUUACCAGAUUCACACCCAUCUGGAUUUUACGCCCAAGUUUGGACAGAAGUUCACCUGUAAGGUGGAACAUGCCAGCUUCAAGAAACCCAGACUUUAUGAGUGGAAUCCCAUGUCUCAGUCCGACAGAGAAAAGAUGGCUGUUGGGACAGCAGGGAUGGCGCUGGGCUCUGUGUUUUUAGCUGUCGGAGUGAUUUACUAUCUGUGCAACAAGAAUGAUCGUCAGUUGGUGCCAGGAGGUUAAUAAACUAUUGCCCGUCACCUGACAUGAAACACUGACUACAGGAGCAGCUGCCAUCCAAACAUACAGGACUGAGGAGUGAAGCUGGGAUGUGAAGUAAAAAUCACAAAAUUUAAAUUUCUUACCUCUUAAAAUCUCUAACGUUCUGUCACUGUACAGAGGUCUUUUUUUGGUUUUGUAACAAUAUUUUAUUCUAUAGGUUUUUAAUAAUGUGGUCACAAUCUUAGAACACAUAUUAAAUGCUAAAUGUUGCACUAUAAGUUAAGGAAUUUUAUAUAAAUUUAAAAUAAUAAUGUUCUCUGUAUGUAUAUUUGUAUUGAACAUUGAAUAUGUUGUAUAUAUAAAACUGUAUAUUAUUUUUACGAUUAACUUGUGACACUUGUGGCGCAAUAACGGUUGGGCUGUGAUAUUAUUAUGGCAGGAUAAUUACCUUUCCAGAAAAUGCCGUAAACUGAUGACCACAUGGUCAGUGAAUGUACUCAUAUAUAUUUUUAUAUAAGUUUCUUGAAAAGCAAAACACUUAGUUUAUUAUAGUGUUUAUUAUAUAGAACAACAAUGCUUGUUUUUUUUCGGAUUAUACUGAUUAUUUUCAGUUACUUUUAUCUUGACCAGCUUACGUCAGUUACAAACAAAUUAAUAAAUCAACCAUUCACAGAUUAUCUCCAGAAGAGGAAGUACAAACACAGCGUCGUUGUGUGGGACAUACAGUAGAUUUAACCGCAUUCUAUCUAACUUUAUUCAAUGAUAAUCAGUUAUAACAAACUGCGUUUAAAAAGGGAAACAAAGAAAGUACAGUCUAUCAUAACGUCUCUCUGGAAAUGACAGUUUUUUUUGUUUUUUUUUUAAAACAACUAAGUAGUUUUUAUCUUUUUGGUAUCAUUUUUGAAAUCCAAGCAUUUUGGCCAGAUGUAGACUACUGUACUAAAAUGUCCUGGACUAAAAAGCUGAAAUAUUUCCUCUGUU
Cynoglossus semilaevis (tongue sole) is the source of this 1789-nucleotide RNA transcript. It is a transcript of the gene named class II histocompatibility antigen, B-L beta chain-like, with no coding region annotated. The record is from RefSeq and is a predicted model, not a curated record. The transcript has 6 exons. NCBI's taxonomy places the organism in Eukaryota, Metazoa, Chordata, Actinopteri, Pleuronectiformes, Cynoglossidae.